CUUUGGUAUCGAGGACUGGAUAUGAUAUAUGAGCUUAUUUGUUUUUCCCCCUCUUGGUCAGAAUUUGGAGCGGACACAGAGCCACCUCAGAGAAGCCUUACUAAGCUGUGUAAAGACGCCUUAGGAGACUACAGUAUAUGUAAUAAAUAAUUCAUGGCUCCUGAGGCACAGAACAGCGCUGGAACAUUCUAGGAAAGAUAAGUGAUUCUGAUGACUGCUGAUACUUGCCAUGUAACGCCACGCGUAACAGAAAAUUGCACAAAGACAGCAUCUCUUCCACAGUGAUGUACAGCCUGCAGCCACAGUACAGCUCAGCACCCUCACACACACACACACACUUACACUAACACACUCUUUGUCAGCAUUUAGGCUUGGAUUAAGCUAUGAGAGAAUGACUGAACUGCUCUUGUCUCAGCUCAAAGUCAUCAGCUGUCCACGGGCCUACAUCAGUUGAUUCCCUUUGAAAGUGAAGAUUAAAG
This is a long non-coding RNA of Cyprinus carpio carpio, 479 nucleotides long. The record is from Ensembl. NCBI's taxonomy places the organism in Eukaryota, Metazoa, Chordata, Actinopteri, Cypriniformes, Cyprinidae.